CUCACUUCGGUGGCACAGACUAAAAUUGGAACAAUACAGAGAAGAUUAGCAUAGUCCUUAGUAUGAGAGUGACAUGCAAACUAGUGACAUGUUCUACAUUUUU
RNAcentral lists this small nuclear RNA (103 nucleotides) under Zalophus californianus (California sea lion). The record is from RNAcentral. Lineage: Eukaryota; Metazoa; Chordata; Mammalia; Carnivora; Otariidae.